RNAcentral lists this ribosomal RNA (3726 nucleotides) under Triticum aestivum (bread wheat). RNAcentral's name for it is "partial small subunit ribosomal RNA". Lineage: Eukaryota; Viridiplantae; Streptophyta; Magnoliopsida; Poales; Poaceae. The record is from RNAcentral.
AUGCUGCUCCGGCCAGAUCACGGCCUCCGCGCGCCGCCAGCGCCCGCCCGUGCCUCCGUCUCCGCGGCGGCGAUCCCUGCCGUCUCCCGUCUCCCUCGCGGCGCGCUCCGGCUCCCCCGCGCGGCUUCUCCGCUCAGGGGCAAAACGUCGAGCGCCCUGCGCGCGUCGGCGGGCAUGCCGUCCGUGGCGCACCGGGAGGUGGCGCGGGCCGUGGCGGAGGAGGCGGUGGCGCGGCUGGGCGACCGGCUGCUGCCCUCGGCCGUGCCCGCCGACGUCGCCGAGUUCAGCAACGGCGACGGGACCGCCCUUGGCGCGCCUGACUCCCCGUCGUCGCGUCUCUUGGAGGAGAUAGUGCAUGGUCAGCUGGCGUCUGUUGUUAAGGGUGUUCUUCAGGUCUGGCUUGAUACUUGCGCCGGUGGCACCUCGGAAAUGGAAGAGGGUGAGAGGGAGAUCAUGGUCAGGAGGGAUCGAACUGCUCUUUCACCGAAGGUUCCAAUGAUGAAGAGGAAAGCAGAUGAGAGUGCUGCAACUACUGUCCCAAACAAAGUACAGAAACAAGCCGAGGACUGGAGCUGUGCACUAUGCCAGGUUAGUGCACCAUCUGAAGCUGGUCUAAAUGAGCAUCUUGGAGGAAGAAAACAUAAGGCGAAGUUGGCACAAUGUGGCGUCAGCAAGGCGAUCAAAGAUGACAAAAACUGCUUGCAGACGACCACUGGGAAUGAGAACAACACAGAUCCUUGUGAUGCACCUAAGAAAAUAUGCAUGCUAGUAGACAGUGCAACAUGUGAAGCUGGUGUAAAUGAGGAUCUUGGAGGAAGAAAACAUAAGGCGAAGUUGGCACAAUGUGGCGUCAGCAAGGCGAUCAAAGAUGACAAAAACUGCUUGCAGACGACCACUGGGAAUGAGAGCAACACAGAUCCUUGUGAUGCACCUAAGAAAAUAUGCAUGCUAGUAGAUGGUGAAAUGCAUGAAGUUGUUCGGAAGAACGACAAUCUGUGGUGUGAUCGCUGCAGAGUCAGGUGUCAUAGUAAAGUCAUCAUGGCUGGCCAUCUGCGGAGCAAGAAGCACAGUAAGUUAAACAAGGUUUGGACAUCGAUAAAGGCUGUGAGGACAAAUACCAAUACUAAGGAAGGUUUGCCUUCUUGUGGAAGUAAGGCUCUUUCAUCAAAUCCAAAGGUUCCAACAGUGAAGAGGAAAGCAGAUGCAAAUGCUGCAACUACUGUGCCAAAGAAAGUACAGAAAUUAACCAAGGACUGGAGCUGUGCACUAUGCCAGGUUAGUGCACCAUGUGAAGCUGCUCUAAAUGAGCAUCUUGGAGGAAGAAAGCAUAAGGCAAAGUUGGCACAGCGUGGCGUCAGCAAGACGAUCAAAGAUGGCAAAAACUGCUCGCAGACGACCACUGGGAAUGAGAACAGCACAGAUCCUUGUGAUGCACCUAAGAAAAUAUGCAUGCUUGGAGGAACAAAGCAUAAGGCAAAGUUGGCACAGUGUGGCGUCAGCAAAACAAUCAAAGAUGGCAAAAACUGCUUGCAGACGACCACUGGGAAUGAGAACAACACAGAUCCUUGUGAUGCACCUAAGAAAAUGAAAAUAUGCAUGCCAGUAGACGGUGCAAUGCAUGAAGUUGUUCGGAAGGACAAAUACCUGUGGUGUGAUCACUGCAGAGUCAGUUGUGAUAACUAUGCCACCAUGGCUUGCCAUCUGCGGUGCAAGAAGCAGAGUAAAUUAACCAAGGUUUGUUCAUCGAUAAAGGCUGUGAGGACAAAUACCAAUACUACGGAAGGUUUGCCUUCUUGUGGAAGUCAGGUAAAUACAAAUGGCUCUACUGAAAUUCCAGCGGUAAUUGAAGGCGGCAUAAAUAUGACCACCACGGUAGAUGAAAGCGGCCCUGUAGAAAAUCCAGUCCGGAAAGAAAUGACAAAAAUGGCCACCAUAAAGGCUGUGAGGACAAAUACUGAUACUAAGGAAAGUUUGCCUUCUUGUGGAAGUCGGGUAAAUACAAACGGCUCUAUUGAAAUUCCAGUGGUAAUUGAAGGCGACAUAAAUAUGACCACCGCAGUACAUGAAAGCGGCCCUGUAGAAAAUCCAGUCCGGAAAGAAAUCACAAGAAUGGCCACCAUAAAGGCUGUGAGGACAAAUACUGCACGCCGGACGAAGCCGACUGUUGCUCUGCAUUCUGCACUGCACUGCACCGCCGCCGCCGCUCCGAUCGCUCGCCGCUGGAUCUACCCCACCUCGGCACUCCCGCCGCGGCGGUCCAUGGAGUUCCGCUUCCGCGCCGGGGACCGCGGGCCACCCGGCUCCUCCCCACCCGCGCCCUCCAGCUCCCCGCCGGCGCGGUUCUCCCACCCCCGCGACGGCUACGCCGGUGCCGUUGCUUCGGGCACGCAAGGGCCUUCGCCUUCGCCUUCGCCGCGGCCGCCGCUCGACUGGGAGGCGGCGCGGCGGGAGCACCUCAUUCGCGAGGAGGUGAGGCGGCGGCUCGUCGAGGAUGAGGUGCGCCGCGAGUUCGAGGCCAAGGGCGACCUCGCCUUCGCCCGCGGCCUCCACGGGGGCUGGGGGCCCGACCCGUUCCUCGCCCCCGGCUGCUUCAUGCCGCCGCCGCACGCGCCGAUGCCGAUGCCGAUGCGCCCGCCCCCGUACGCGCCGCCGCCGCCGGUGCCUUUCGACGAGUUUGGUGCCUGGCAGGGGUUUAGGCCUCGCCGGCACGCCGGAUUUGGGGAAAGGAUGCCGUUCCCCUGUGAGGAGGGGAGGUGGUCUCUGCCGCCGCAAAAGCCGAAGCAUAAGCUCAAGCUGGUUGAGAUCGAGCCCUCCGGGACACCUGAGGAUGUUGUUAGAUAUGCACACCCGAUUAACUAUUGCAUUGAAUGUUCAUCUCAGAAUCUUUCGCCAAAAUUGAAGGUUCCAAGGCUGAAGAGGAAAACAGAUGCCAAUGCUGCAGCUACUGUACCAAAGAAAGUACUGAAACUAGCCAAGGACUGGAGCUGUGCUCUAUGCCAGGUUAGUGCAACAUGUGAAGCUGGUCUAAAUGAGCAUCUCGGAGGAAGAAAACAUAAGGCCAAGUUGGCCCUGUGUGGCGCUAGCAAGGCAAUCAAAGAUGACAAAAACUGCUCGCAGACGACCACUGGGAAUAAGAACAGCACAGAUCCUUGUGAUGCACCUAAGAAAGUACACAUGCUAGUAGACGGUGAAAUGCAUGAAGUUGUUCAGAAGAACAACUAUCUGUGGUGUGAUCGCUGCAGAGUCAGGUGUGAUAGCAAUGUCAUCAUGGCUGGCCAUCUGCGGAGCAAGAAGCACAGUAAAUUAAACAAGGUUUGGACAUCGAUAAAGGCUGUGAGGACAAAUACCGAUACUAAGGAAGGUUUGCCUUCUUGUGGAAGUCGGGUAAAUACAAACGACUCUACUGAAAUUCCAGCGGUAAUUGAAGGCGACAUAAAUAUGACCAGUGAAGUAGAUGAAAGUAGCCCUGUAGAAAAUUCAGCCAGGAAAGAAAUCAAAAGCAUUGCCGCCGAAGUAGAAAUUCCAGCGGUAAUUGAAGGCGACAUAAAUAUGACCAGUGGUGUAGAUGAAAGUAGCCUUGUAGAAACUCCAGCUGGGAAAGAAAUCAGAAGCAUCGCCAGUGAAGUAGAAAGUAUAACCAUGGCUACCGAAGUACAUGAAAAUAACCCUGGGGAAACUCCAGUUGAAACAAAGAAGGAAAGCACAGACAUGACAAAUGAUGUGUGA